AUUGAACGCUGGCGGCAGGCCUAACACAUGCAAGUCGAACGAGUGGCGGACGGGUGAGUAAUGUAUGGGAAACUGCCUGAUGGCGGGGGAUAACUACUGGAAACGGUAGCUAAUACCGCAUACCCUCAGAUGAACCCAGAUGGGAUUAGCUUGUGGGUGGGGUAACGGCUAACCAGGGCGACGAUCCCUAGCUGGUCUGAGAGGAUGAACAGCCACACUGGGACUGUGACACGGUCCAGACUCCUACGGGAGGCAGCAGUGGGUAAGAUUGCACAAUGGGCGCAAGCCUGAUGCAGCCAUGCCGCGUGUAUGAAGAAGGCCUUCGGGUUGUAAAGUACUUUCAGCGGGGAGGCGUUACCCGCAGAAGAAGCACCGGCUAACUCCGUGCCAGCAGCCGCGGUAAUUC
This 406-nucleotide ribosomal RNA is filed under the name uncultured bacterium. RNAcentral describes it as "partial 16S ribosomal RNA". It matches the Rfam family "Bacterial small subunit ribosomal RNA", at positions 30 to 526 of the family's 1533-position model. The record is from RNAcentral.